AAGAAACUUGUAGGAAGCCCAACACAUUUCUGAUCUCUUCUUUCUUCAGCUCCACCGACGCUUCCCAUUCUCACUUCUCUAAACCUCAUCUCCUCCAUAAACACCCACAAACCUCACCAUAUUUACCACUCUAACCUAACCAAAUACAAUUCAAAGCAUUGUGCUCCACAGCCUCAUCCUGAACGCGACCUCACACUCCAGUUCCCUUCGGUUCAACUCGGCCGAGUCAGAAUGCUGGAGCGGUGCUUAGGGCCUCGCCGGGCCCGCCAAGUCCAGAGGAUGCUCCGCCACGGAACGACGACGUUUCUCUGUCUAUUCUUAACCGUCGUCGUCCUGCGCGGCACAAUCGGCGCCGGCAAAUUCGGAACCCCGGAACAAGACUACAACGAAAUCCGCGAGCACUUCUACUCGAACAACCGGCGCGUGGAGCCCCACCGGGUCCUCCAAGAAGCCACCACCCAACCCGACCAAAAGGAAGCCGACCCAGCCCAGUCCAACAACUACGCCACCUUCGACAUAUCCAAAAUCCUCGUCGACGAACCAGGAUCCGACGACGAAAAGCGGGACCCGAACACUCCGUACAGUCUUGGGCCAAAAAUAUCGGAUUGGGACGAGCAGAGAUCCGAUUGGUUGAAAAAGAACCCGAGUUUCCCCAACUUUCUCGGACCCAAUAAGCCCAGGGUGUUGCUGGUAACCGGGUCGUCGCCCAAACCUUGUGAAAACCCGGUCGGCGAUCACUAUCUCUUGAAGUCGAUUAAGAACAAAAUCGACUACUGUAGGAUCCACGGGAUUGAGAUCUUCUACAACUUCGCGCUUCUGGACGCGGAAAUGCCGGGUUUUGGGCCAAGCUUCCAUUGAUCCGAAAGCUCUGCUUUCCCAUCCGGGAAGUGGAGUUUCUAUGGUGGAUGGACAGCGACGCCAUGUUCACCGACAUGGCGUUUGAGGUCCCCUGGGAACGCUACAAGGACCACAACUUCGUUAUGCACGGCUGGAACGAGAUGGUGUACGAUCAGAAGAACUGGAUCGGGUUGAACACCGGAAGCUUCUUACUGAGAAAUUGCCAGUGGUCUCUUGACAUUCUGGACGUCUGGGCUCCGAUGGGUCCGAAGGGGAAGAUCCGAGACGAGGCGGGUAAGGUUUUGACCCGGGAGCUCAAAGGCCGACCCGUUUUCGAAGCCGACGACCAGUCCGCCAUGGUUUACAUCUUGGCGAAAGGGAGAGAGACUUGGGGGGAGAAGGUGUACUUAGAGAGCGCGUAUUAUUUGCACGGGUAUUGGGGCAUUUUGGUGGAUCGAUACGAGGAGAUGAUCGAGAGCUACCAUCCGGGUUUCGGCGACCACCGGUGGCCGCUCGUGACCCAUUUCGUGGGUUGCAAGCCGUGCGGGAAGUUCGGGGAUUAUCCGGUGGAGCGGUGCCUGAAGCAGAUGGACCGGGCUUACAAUUUUGGGGAUAAUCAGGUGUUGCAGAUGUAUGGGUUCACCCAUAAAUCUCUGGGUAGUAGGAGAGUGAAGAGGGUUAGGAAUGAGAGUAGCAACCCACUUGAAGUGAAGGAUGAGCUUGGCUUGCUUCACCCUGCUUUCAAAGCUUUCAAGCCAUCAUCAUCAUCUUCUUGAUCCUUUUUUUUAUCCCACUUUUUUUUCUCUCUCUCUUUUUUAUUUAUUUUAUUAAAGGUAAUAAUACAUGUCAAUUUGUAUCUUCUUGCUUUUCUGAUUUGUUGUUUUGAUGUAUUUUUGUGUUAGAAAUGACUUUAAACUUCAGAUACAAUUCUUGGCUUUUUGGAAGAAAUGCAUAUGCCAUAUAUGUAUAGGAGGAGCUCCUUACACUUUGGAGUGGUGAAGAA
Molecule: RNA transcript, 1840 nt
Organism: Prunus persica (peach)
Lineage: Eukaryota; Viridiplantae; Streptophyta; Magnoliopsida; Rosales; Rosaceae
Gene name: xyloglucan 6-xylosyltransferase 2
Exons: 1
Source: RefSeq, a predicted model, not a curated record